AACGUAGGAGGCAAGCGUUAUCCGGAGUUACUGGGCGUAAAGAGCGUGUAGGCGGGCUGGCAAGUCUGGUGUGAAAGCUCCCGGCUAAACUGGGAGAGUGCAUUGGAGACUGCCAAUCUAGAGGCUGUCAGAGGGUCGUGGAAUUCCGGGUGUAGUGGUGAAAUGCGUAGAGAUCCGGAGGAACACCAGUGGCGAAGGCGACGACCUGGGGCAGAACUGACGCUGAGACGCGAAAGCACGGGGAGCGAACGGGAUUAGAAACCCCCGUAGUCC
This 273-nucleotide ribosomal RNA is filed under the name uncultured bacterium. RNAcentral's name for it is "partial 16S ribosomal RNA". It matches the Rfam family "Bacterial small subunit ribosomal RNA", at positions 524 to 796 of the family's 1533-position model. The record is from RNAcentral.